Molecule: non-coding RNA, 21 nt
Filed under: Arabidopsis thaliana (thale cress)
Lineage: Eukaryota; Viridiplantae; Streptophyta; Magnoliopsida; Brassicales; Brassicaceae
Source: RNAcentral
AGCAACGUCGGCAGUAAGAGG